Molecule: ribosomal RNA, 418 nt
Filed under: uncultured archaeon
Lineage: Archaea
Description: bacterial SSU rRNA
Rfam family: Archaeal small subunit ribosomal RNA
Source: RNAcentral
AGAGCGGGAGCCCGGAGAUGGGCACUGAGACAAGGGCCCAGGCCCUACGGGGCGCAGCAGUCGCGAAAACUCCGCAAUGCGCGAAAGCGUGACGGGGCUACCCCGAGUGCCGUCCGCUGAGGAUGGCUUUUCCCAGGUGUAAUGAGCCGGGGGAAUAAGGAGAGGGCAAGUCUGGUGUCAGCCGCCGCGGUAAUACCAGCUCUCCGAGUGGUAGGGACGAUUAUUGGGCUUAAAGCGUCCGUAGCCGGCUUAGCAAGUCUCCUGUUAAAUUCAGCGACCUAAUCGUUGAGCCGCGGGAGAUACUACUAGGCUAGGAGGCGGGAGAGGCCGACGGUAUUCUCGGGGUAGGGGUGAAAUCCUAUAAUCCCGGGAGGACCACCAGUGGCGAAGGCUGUCGGCUAGAACGCGCCCGACGGUG